Xiphophorus couchianus (Monterrey platyfish) is the source of this 513-nucleotide long non-coding RNA. RefSeq lists it as uncharacterized. The record is from RefSeq and is a predicted model, not a curated record. The transcript has 3 exons. NCBI's taxonomy places the organism in Eukaryota, Metazoa, Chordata, Actinopteri, Cyprinodontiformes, Poeciliidae.
GCCAUAAUCAAAAGAGUCCACUAGGGGCACCAGUGCGCUCUUCUCUACACUCAAUACAAGAGUAAGUGAAAGCGCACUGAUUUCAUCUUGUGAUCAUUUCUUCGCUUACAUUUUUCCUUUUAUAAGAUUGACAACUGCUCCAGGGUGUGCCUUUCCUCUAACCCCAUGACUGCUGGAGAUCGCAACCAGUCCCCCUUGUGACCCAGCAAGGAAAAGCAGAGACUGGGGAGGGAGACGAACCUGCCACAAACUGCAUGCGCUCACGCUGGAUACGGAGAAAUCUAUGGACUGACACAGCUCAGGAGAGUCAGACCACGGGGAAGGGGGAGGUUUGUGAUGUGGUUAGGUCAGGUUUACAGAGCCUGUUACUUUGCUACAGGCAAGAUACCCAGAGGUAAACUUUGGCACAUUUACAGCAUUGGCUUUAAGGGUAAUGAGAGCCAUCAAACUGUACUGUGUAAAGCAGAAACUGUACAGUUUGACAAAAUGUCCUAGAAUCACUUGAUAAAUAAA